AUUUGGAUUGUUUCCCCUUUUUGGCUAUCAUGAGGAAAACUGCUAUAAGCAUUUGCAAAGAGACAGGCUUUGGGAUUUAUUUGCAGAGAGGUUAGGCAUUCAGACAUGUGGAAAGAGAGAUGAAAGGAAAGUGCACCUGAGGCUGAACAAGUGACUAAAGGAGAAGCCACUGUGCCUGUCGAAAGAACAAUGAAUAAUCCAGAAUUGAUAGAUAAGUAAGACUGGGGAAGGAAGAGAAAGGAAGACACAGCCUCUGAGAGCCGGAUGAAGACACAAAUGGGAUGGAGGCUGCGGCUGUUAAACCAUCAGGACUCAGCGGCUGUUAAACCAUCAGGACUCAGCAAUUAUUUCAUGUGGAGACAAGUGAUGGCAAAGCCAAAAGGCCACGGGUGUUGAGCUGUUGACGAGAAACUGAAAGUGCCAUUGUGUUUAUACAGGAAGCUGCCAUUAGUAGGGAUUUGAAAAAGCAAGAGGAGAGGAUGAGUUUAGUGGGGAGUUCUUACACUUCAGGUGCUAGUGGAUACCACCAAGUCAAUAUUGAGUAGCAGGAAACCAGGGCCUGAUGUUCCGUCAGGCCAUCAGGGCGGAGACAUUGUGGAGAGGAAGUUUUGAGGCUGUGAGAUUAG
Molecule: long non-coding RNA, 626 nt
Filed under: Homo sapiens (human)
Lineage: Eukaryota; Metazoa; Chordata; Mammalia; Primates; Hominidae
Description: HSALNT0157725
Source: RNAcentral